This 265-nucleotide long non-coding RNA is filed under the name Physcomitrium patens. RNAcentral's name for it is "long non-coding RNA (PPAT_LNC004638)". The record is from RNAcentral. Lineage: Eukaryota; Viridiplantae; Streptophyta; Bryopsida; Funariales; Funariaceae.
UUAGGAUUUCGUCUACUAUUUGAUUAGGAUUAGGAUUUGCUUGGAGUUUGGUUUAGAACUUAAGUAGGAGUUGACUAAGGUAUAUCUAGGAUUUAUCUAGGCUUUAGGAUUUUAUUAGGAUUUGACCUAGGAUUUGACUUAGGAUUUGAUUAAGGUUCAAUUAGGGUUUUAAUUAAGAUUUGAUUUAGUAUUUGAAUAAGGUUCAUUUAAAAUUUAAAUUAGAAUUAUAUUUAGAUUUUUAUUUUUAAUAUUUCUUUAAGAUUAU